RNAcentral lists this ribosomal RNA (253 nucleotides) under uncultured bacterium. RNAcentral describes it as "partial 16S ribosomal RNA". It matches the Rfam family "Bacterial small subunit ribosomal RNA", at positions 524 to 776 of the family's 1533-position model. The record is from RNAcentral.
UACGUAGGGUGCGAGCGUUAAUCGGAAUUACUGGGCGUAAAGCGUGCGCAGGCGGCUUUGCAAGACAGAUGUGAAAUCCCCGGGCUCAACCUGGGAACUGCAUUUGUGACUGCAAGGCUAGAGUACGGUAGAGGGGGAUGGAAUUCCGCGUGUAGCAGUGAAAUGCGUAGAUAUGCGGAGGAACACCGAUGGCGAAGGCAAUCCCCUGGACCUGUACUGACGCUCAUGCACGAAAGUGUGGGGAGCAAACAGG